UCCCGUGUGGCUCAGUUGGUAGAGCAUGGUGUUUGCAACGCCAGGGUUGUGGGUUCGAUUCCCCCGUGGGGC
Molecule: transfer RNA, 72 nt
Filed under: Salmo salar (Atlantic salmon)
Lineage: Eukaryota; Metazoa; Chordata; Actinopteri; Salmoniformes; Salmonidae
Rfam family: tRNA
About the family: Transfer RNA (tRNA) molecules are approximately 80 nucleotides in length. Their secondary structure includes four short double-helical elements and three loops (D, anti-codon, and T loops).
Source: Rfam by way of RNAcentral